GAAUCUGCCCUUCAAUGAAGGAUACCCUCGAGAAAUCGAGGUUAAUACUGCAUACGUCCCUUCGGGGAGAAAGAUGGCUUAUUUAGCUGUCGUUGAAGGAUGAGCUUGCGGCCUAUCAGUUUGUUGGUGGGGUAAUGGCCCACCAAGACUAUGACGGGUAGCCGGCCUGAGAAGGGUGAUCGGCCAGAUUGGAACUGAGACACGGUCCAGACUCCUACGGGAGGCAGCAGUGAGGAAUCUUGCGCAAUGGGCGAAAGCCUGACGCAGCGACGCCGCGUGGAGGAUGACGCUCAGUGGAACGAAAACUCACGUUAAGGGAUUUUGGUCAUGAGACAAUAACCCUGAUAAAUGCUUCAAUAAUAUUGAAAAAGGAAGAGUAUGAGUAUU
RNAcentral lists this non-coding RNA (387 nucleotides) under candidate division TM6 bacterium Zodletone_IIa. RNAcentral describes it as "Bacterial small subunit ribosomal RNA". It matches the Rfam family "Bacterial small subunit ribosomal RNA", at positions 122 to 542 of the family's 1533-position model. The record is from Rfam by way of RNAcentral.